Molecule: ribosomal RNA, 486 nt
Filed under: uncultured bacterium
Lineage: Bacteria
Description: partial 16S ribosomal RNA
Rfam family: Bacterial small subunit ribosomal RNA
Source: RNAcentral
AUUGAACGCUGGCGGCAUGCCUUACACAUGCAAGUCGAACGGCAGCACGGGUGCUUGCACCUGGUGGCGAGUGGCGAACGGGUGAGUAAUACAUCGGAACAUGUCCUGUAGUGGGGGAUAGCCCGGCGAAAGCCGGAUUAAUACCGCAUACGAUCUACGGAUGAAAGCGGGGGACCUUCGUGCCUCGCGCUAUAGGGUUGGCCGAUGGCUGAUUAGCUCGUUGGUGGGGUAAAGGCCUACCAAGGCGACGAUCAGUAGCUGGUCUGAGAGGACGACCAGCCACACUGGGACUGAGACACGGUCCAGACUCCGAAGGGAGGCAGCAGUGGGGAAUUUUGGACAAUGGGCGAAAGCCUGAUCCAGCAAUGCCGCGUGUGUGAAGAAGGCCUUCGGGUUGUAAAGCACUUUUGUCCGGAAAGAAAUCCUUGGCCCUAAUACGGUCGGGGGAUGACGGUACCGGAAGAAUAAGCACCGGCUAACUACGUG